This 464-nucleotide ribosomal RNA is filed under the name uncultured bacterium. RNAcentral's name for it is "partial 16S ribosomal RNA". It matches the Rfam family "Bacterial small subunit ribosomal RNA", at positions 28 to 507 of the family's 1533-position model. The record is from RNAcentral.
GACGAACGCUGGCGGCGUGCUUAACACAUGCAAGUCGAACGGAAAGGCCCCUUUGGGGGUACUCGAGUGGCGAACGGGUGAGUAACACGUGAGUAACCUGCCCUUGACUUCGGGAUAACUUCAGGAAACUGGGGCUAAUACCGGAUAGGAAUCCUUGCUGCAUGGUGGGGGUUGGAAAGCUUCGGCGGUUUUGGAUGGACUCGCGGCUUAUCAGCUUGUUGGUGGGGUAGUGGCUUACCAAGGCUUUGACGGGUAGCCGGCCUGAGAGGGCGACCGGCCACUUUGGGCCUGGGAUACGGCCCAGACUCCUACGGGAGGCAGCAGUGGGGAAUAUGCACAAUGGGCGGAAGCCUGAUGCAGCAACGCCGCGUGCGGGAUGACGGCCUUCGGGUUGUAAACCGCUUUCAGCAGGGGCGAAGCUUGUGGUGACGGUACCUGCAGAAGAAGCACCGGCUAACUACGUG